UCCCAGGUGGCUCAGACCUUAAAGAAUCUGCCUGCAGUGCAGAAGACCCAGGUUCAAUCCCUGGGUUGGGUA
This 72-nucleotide transfer RNA is filed under the name Bos taurus (domestic cattle). It matches the Rfam family "tRNA". Rfam says of the family: Transfer RNA (tRNA) molecules are approximately 80 nucleotides in length. Their secondary structure includes four short double-helical elements and three loops (D, anti-codon, and T loops). Lineage: Eukaryota; Metazoa; Chordata; Mammalia; Artiodactyla; Bovidae. RNAcentral also lists the same sequence under 5 other names. The record is from Rfam by way of RNAcentral.